Molecule: transfer RNA, 73 nt
Filed under: Chlorobiota bacterium
Lineage: Bacteria; Pseudomonadati; Chlorobiota
Description: Chlorobi bacterium tRNA-Phe
Rfam family: tRNA
About the family: Transfer RNA (tRNA) molecules are approximately 80 nucleotides in length. Their secondary structure includes four short double-helical elements and three loops (D, anti-codon, and T loops). Further hydrogen bonds mediate the characteristic L-shaped molecular structure. tRNAs have two regions of fundamental functional importance: the anti-codon, which is responsible for specific mRNA codon recognition, and the 3' end, to which the tRNAs corresponding amino acid is attached (by aminoacyl-tRNA synthetases). tRNAs cope with the degeneracy of the genetic code in two manners: having more than one tRNA (with a specific anti-codon) for a particular amino acid; and 'wobble' base-pairing, i.e. permitting non-standard base-pairing at the 3rd anti-codon position.
Source: RNAcentral
GGUCAGAUAGCUCAGUUGGUAGAGCAAAGGACUGAAAAUCCUUGUGUCGGGGGUUCAAAUCCCUCUCUGACCA